This 452-nucleotide ribosomal RNA is filed under the name uncultured bacterium. RNAcentral's name for it is "bacterial SSU rRNA". It matches the Rfam family "Bacterial small subunit ribosomal RNA", at positions 335 to 783 of the family's 1533-position model. The record is from RNAcentral.
ACUCCUACGGGAGGCAGCAGUGGGGAAUAUUGCACAAUGGGCGCAAGCCUGAUGCAGCCAUGCCGCGUGUGUGAAGAAGGCCUUCGGGUUGUAAAGCACUUUCAGUCGUGAGGAAGGUAGUGUAGUUAAUAGCUGCAUUAUUUGACGUUAGCGACAGAAGAAGCACCGGCUAACUCCGUGCCAGCAGCCGCGGUAAUACGGAGGGUGCGAGCGUUAAUCGGAAUUACUGGGCGUAAAGCGCAUGCAGGUGGUUGUUAAGUCAGAUGUGAAAGCCCGGGGCUCAACCUCGGAAUAGCAUUUGAAACUGGCAGACUAGAGUACUGUAGAGGGGGUAGAAUUUCAGGUGUAGCGGUGAAAUGCGUAGAGAUCUGAAGGAAUACCGGUGGCGAAGGCGGCCCCUGGACAGAUACUGACACUCAGAUGCGAAAGCGUGGGAGCAAACAGGAUUAGAU